Regulatory RNA element from Enterobacter cloacae, 88 nucleotides. It matches the Rfam family "TrxA 5' UTR thermometer". From Rfam's summary of the family: Involved in protection against oxidative stress. NCBI's taxonomy places the organism in Bacteria, Pseudomonadati, Pseudomonadota, Gammaproteobacteria, Enterobacterales, Enterobacteriaceae. The record is from Rfam.
CGUUGAUUGUUGAUUAAUGCUACACCAACACACCAGGCUUAUUCCUGCGGAGUUAACUAUGAGCGAUAAAAUUAUUCACCUGACUGAC